GCCCGGAUGGCGGAAUUGGUAGACGCGCUAGUUUCAGGUACUAGUGGCUGAAAAGCCUUGGAAGUUCAAAUCUUCUUUCGGGCACCA
This 87-nucleotide transfer RNA is filed under the name Sphingobacteriia bacterium. RNAcentral describes it as "tRNA-Leu". It matches the Rfam family "tRNA". From Rfam's summary of the family: Transfer RNA (tRNA) molecules are approximately 80 nucleotides in length. Lineage: Bacteria; Pseudomonadati; Bacteroidota; Sphingobacteriia. The record is from RNAcentral.